GAAAUGCGAUAAGCAAUGCGAAUUGCAGAAUUCCGCGAGUCAUCAGAUUUUUGAACGCAGCCCGCGCCGGAGAGAUAUCUCCUCGGCAUGUUUAUUUCAGUGUGUUUGGUUGACCUCACAAAACUUAAUGCGAUUGACGCUGUCUCUCCACUUCACGGUGGUUGAUAGUUUCUCUCGUGAAAAACGAGGGCGCGGACUUGUCCGCCAACGAUGUGGCCACUGUCUAACAGUGUUUUCGUUGGAGCAACGGACCUGUCAUUUAAUUUAAUGCGUCUUAAUAUCUAAAAAAAACAUCUUCAAUCUGCACCUGAAAUUAAGCAAGGACACCCGCUGAACUUAA
RNAcentral lists this unclassified non-coding RNA (340 nucleotides) under uncultured Ophiostomataceae. Its description in RNAcentral is "sequence contains ITS1". The stretch from base 1 to 105 matches the Rfam family "5.8S ribosomal RNA", at positions 50 to 154 of the family's 154-position model. Lineage: Eukaryota; Fungi; Ascomycota; Sordariomycetes; Ophiostomatales. The record is from RNAcentral.